Molecule: ribosomal RNA, 496 nt
Filed under: uncultured bacterium
Lineage: Bacteria
Description: partial 16S ribosomal RNA
Rfam family: Bacterial small subunit ribosomal RNA
Source: RNAcentral
GAUGAACGCUGGCGGCGUGCCUAAUACAUGCAAGUCGAGCGAACGGACGAGAAGCUUGCUUCUCUGAUGUUAGCGGCGGACGGGUGAGUAACACGUGGAUAACCUACCUAUAAGACUGGGAUAACUUCGGGAAACCGGAGCUAAUACCGGAUAAUAUUUUGAACCGCAUGGUUCAAAAGUGAAAGACGGUCUUGCUGUCACUUAUAGAUGGAUCCGCGCUGCAUUAGCUAGUUGGUAAGGUAACGGCUUACCAAGGCAACGAUGCAUAGCCGACCUGAGAGGGGGAUCGGCCACACUGGACCUGAGACACGGUCCAGACUCCUACGGGAGGCAGCAGUAGGGAAUCUUCCGCAAGGGGCGAAAGCCUGACGGAGAAACGCCGCGGGAGUGAUGAGGUCUUCGGAUCGUAAAACUCUGUUAUUAGGGAAGAACAUAUGUGUAAGUAACUGUGCACAUCUUGACGGUACCUAAUCAGAAAGCCACGGCUAACUACGUG